AUACGUAGGGGGCGAGCGUUGUCCGGAAUGACUGGGCGUAAAGGGCGUGUAGGCGGCGCUGUAAGUCUGGAGUGAAAGUCCCGUUUUCAAGGCGGGAACUUCUUUGGAUACUGCAGAGCUUGAGUGCGGAAGAGGUAAGUGGAAUUCCCAGUGUAGCGGGGAAAUGCGUAGAGAUUGGGAGGAACACCAGUGGCGAAGGCGACGUACUGGGCCGUAACUGACGCUGAGGCGCGAAAGCGUGGGGAGCGAACAGGAUUAGAUACCCUGGUAGUCCGUGCCGUAAACGAUGAAUACUAGGUGUAGGGGGUAUCGACUCCCUCUGUGCCGCAGUUAACACAUUAAGUAUUCCACCUGGGGAGUACGGCCGCAAGGUUGAAACUCAAAUGAAUUGACGGGG
This 397-nucleotide ribosomal RNA is filed under the name uncultured bacterium. Its description in RNAcentral is "partial 16S ribosomal RNA". It matches the Rfam family "Bacterial small subunit ribosomal RNA", at positions 523 to 918 of the family's 1533-position model. The record is from RNAcentral.